GCAAGGGUAUCCUGUGCUGAAUACAUAGGCACUGGAAGCGAACCCGGGGAACUGAAAUAUCUCAGUACCCGGAGGAAAAGAAAUCAACCGAGAUUCCCAAAGUAGUGGCGAGCGAAAUGGGACCAGCCUGCAAGUGAUAAUGACUGCGUUAGCGGAACAGUCUGGAAAGUCUGGCCGUAGUGGGUGAUAGCCCCGUACGCGAAAACCCGGCUCAAGAACUAAGCGUGAGAAAAGUAGGGCGGGACACGUGAAAUCCUGUCUGAAGAUGGGGGGACCAUCCUCCAAGGCUAAAUACUCGUGAUCGACCGAUAGUGAACUAGUACCGUGAGGGAAAGGCGAAAAGAACCCCGGGAGGGGAGUGAAAUAGAUCCUGAAACCGCAUGCAUACAAACAGUGGGAGCCGCCUUGUGGGGUGACUGCGUACCUUUUGUAUAAUGGGUCAGCGACUUACGUUAUGUGGCGAGCUUAACCGAAUAGGGGAGGCGUAGCGAAAGCGAGUCUGAUAAGGGCGAUUUAGUCGCUAAGCGUAGACCCGAAACCGGAUGAUCUAUCCAUGGCCAGGAUGAAGGUGCCGUAACAGGUACUGGAGGUCCGAACCCACUAAUGUUGAAAAAUUAGGGGAUGAGCUGUGGAUAGGGGUGAAAGGCUAAACAAAUCCGGAAAUAGCUGGUUCUCCCCGAAAACUAUUUAGGUAGUGCGUCUUAUAUCACUGACGGGGGUAAAGCACUGUUAUGGCUAGGGGGUCAUCGCGACUUACCAAACCAUGGCAAACUCUGAAUACCGUCAAGUGCGAGUAAGGCAGACAGACAGUGGGUGCUAACGUCCAUUGUCAAGAGGGAAACAACCCAGACCGCCAGCUAAGGUCCCCAAGACAUGGUUAAGUGGGAAACGAAGUGGGAAGGCAUAGACAGCUAGGAGGUUGGCUUAGAAGCAGCCAUCCUUUAAAGAAAGCGUAAUAGCUCACUAGUCGAGUCGUCCUGCGCGGAAGAUGUAACGGGGCUCAAACUGUGCACCGAAGCUGCGGAUAUCGAAAGAUAUGGUAGGGGAGCGUUCUGUAGGUCUGUGAAGGUGUCUUGUAAAGGAUGCUGGAGAUAUCAGAAGUGCGAAUGCUGACAUGAGUAGCGAUAAAGGGAGUGAAAAGCUCCCUCGCCGAAAGCCCAAGGUUUCCUACGCAACGUUCAUCGGCGUAGGGUGAGUCGGCCCCUAAGGCGAGGCAGAAAUGCGUAGUCGAUGGGAAACAGGUCAAUAUUCCUGUACCGAUUCUGGAUGCGAUGUGGGGACGGAGAAGGUUAGGUCAGCCACCUGUUGGAAUAGGUGGUUCAAGCGUGUAGGCGUGCCCCUUAGGCAAAUCCGGGGGGCUUAGCUGAGGCGUGAUAACGAGGUGCUACGGCACUGAAGUGAUUGAUACCAAGCUUCCAGGAAAAGCCACUAAGCUUCAGUCUAGAAUUGACCGUACCGCAAACCGACACAGGUGGGCAGGAUGAAAAUUCUAAGGCGCUUGAGAGAACUCAGGAGAAGGAACUCGGCAAAUUAACACCGUAACUUCGGGAGAAGGUGUGCCUCGGGAAGUGUAAGGGUUUACCCCUGAAGCAUCUCGGGGUCGCAGUGAAAUGGCCCAAGCGACUGUUUACUAAAAACACAGGACUCUGCAAAGUCGUAAAACGACGUAUAGGGUCUGACGCCUGCCCGGUGCUGGAAGGUUAAGGGGAGAGGUUAGCCGCAAGGCAAAGCUUCGAACCGAAGCCCCAGUAAACGGCGGCCGUAACUAUAACGGUCCUAAGGUAGCGAAAUUCCUUGUCGGGUAAGUUCCGACCUGCACGAAUGGCGUAACG
Molecule: ribosomal RNA, 1832 nt
Filed under: alkali sediment metagenome
Description: bacterial LSU rRNA
Rfam family: Bacterial large subunit ribosomal RNA
Source: RNAcentral